GGGGGGCUUCUGAGGGGCUCCCUUUAGCCCCCUCAAGCUGGGACCCCGGCCUGCUCGCGCCGCCCCGCGGUUCUUCGCGGUCCAGCUCCAGGCGGCCGCCUCCCGCGACCCCGCCGAGGCGCGGGUUUCAUGAACACGCUCAGGCGGGCGCGGAAGCACCUGCGGGGGGCGCGGGAGGAGCCGCCACAGCGGAGCCCCGAAGCGCCCCUCCCGCCCACACCCGGCUCUCAGCCUGGAGUUUCCUCCCCGCCUUGCGGAAAGUCUCUUAAAUAAUUUAUUCGGACGUUAUCAGAAACCGACUCCGGGCGCAGUGGGAAGCGCGUAAAUUCCUGAGACACGAGAACCACAGUGUUAAUGAAACAGCUGGGCUGGGAGAAGGUGGGGCGCAGGACACAUCUGUCCGAAGGGUGCCCUGGGUAAUCAGACAGCGACCUGAGACCAGAAAGGUGAGUCUGACCCUGCAAGGGACAGACCUUCAUUCUUCAGUGGGGCCCAGGACAAGGCUGCUCCAGGAGGCCUGGUCUCAAGGUGCCAGCUCUGUAUUCGUGUCACAUGGCCAAAUGGGCUCCUGAGGAUCACUUGUCUGCCUUGAGCCUCCUCCUCCAUCACCAUCGUCCGCGCGAGAUCACCCCCCCAGGAAGCCCUGCAGCUCCCUUCUGUUCUCUUUCCAGGCCCUUGUCACCCAGGCCUCGGAGCGCCAUUAUCAGCGAGAAGCUAGGUGUCACCUCGAGGUGGGGCCCUCCUCUGUGACUACCAGUGUCUCCCCGCCUCCGCCAUGCGUGUCAAGUGAGGCAGAUCCACUGGCCUGAGGCGUCUGUCUGUCCCUCUCCUCCUGUAGCCAAGCUGGGCGAGGAGCAGGUUCUCAGGAGUCCUGCCUGCAAUAUUAAUGUGGCGAACCAGAGGCCGGGGCUUCAAUAAUGAAGGAGGGCUUCGCCCGAAGAAACAUGAGCCUUUCUGGCUGAGAACAGGACAAAGACACGACGGGAAUGAGCCUGAGAUGAGCACCCCCCGCCCAGGCACACUCGGAACCCAUGUCCUGCAGACAUCAACACGGCAUCAGGACAGAGUCUGGGGUAGACAAGCGAUUCAUGGUUCUCGCUGCAAAGAAACUUUUGACCAAAGGUGCUGGAAGACACGGUCCCCCAACAUUCAUGGCAGGUUGUGUUCAAGGGGAUGAUUACAGUUCUGGCAAUGCACCGAGCAUUGCUGUAGGCGUUGAGAUCCGUGGAUAAGACAGAAGAUCCCUGCCUCUGCCUGGCCUAAGCAGGGCAACAGAGAACAACGGACACAAUGCAUAAGUCAGGUAAGGAGCUGGGGCAGGGGAGGAAAGGAGAGCCGUGAAGGAGACGGGGUGUGUGCAUUCCGUAUUAAGGAGGGUGGUGGCGGUUCCAGGCAGAGGGAACAGCCAGGGCCAGGAGAGUGCACCCGGAGGACACUGGGAACAGACAGGAGGCCAGCGAGUGGGAGCAGAGGGAGCAAAGGGCAGGCAGAGAGGGGCCAGGGCCAGGUGAGGCGGGGCCUGGGGACCACAGUAAAAACUGGUUGUUUGUUGAAUGAGC
This 1559-nucleotide long non-coding RNA is filed under the name Sus scrofa (pig). Its description in RNAcentral is "lncRNA (ENSSSCG00050014993.1)". Lineage: Eukaryota; Metazoa; Chordata; Mammalia; Artiodactyla; Suidae. The record is from RNAcentral.